RNAcentral lists this ribosomal RNA (494 nucleotides) under uncultured bacterium. RNAcentral's name for it is "bacterial SSU rRNA". It matches the Rfam family "Bacterial small subunit ribosomal RNA", at positions 17 to 518 of the family's 1533-position model. The record is from RNAcentral.
UUAUGGCUCAGGAUGAACGCUGGCGGCGUGCUUAACACAUGCAAGUCGAACGGAGCCAAAGGAAGCUUGCUUCUUGAAGCUUAGUGGCGGACGGGUGAGUAACGCGUGAGCAACCUGCCCUUCAGUGGGGAAUAACACAGAGAAAUCUGUGCUAAUACCGCAUAACGUCUUCUUGCCGCAUGACAGGAAGACCAAAGGAUUUAUUCGCUGAAGGAUGGGCUCGCGUCCGAUUAGGCAGUUGGUGAGGUAACGGCUCACCAAACCAACGAUCGGUAGCCGAACUGAGAGGUUGAUCGGCCACAUUGGGACUGAGACACGGCCCAGACUCCUACGGGAGGCAGCAGUGGGGAAUAUUGGGCAAUGGGCGAAAAAGCCUGACCCAGCAACGCCGCGUGAAGGAAGACGGUCUUCGGAUUGUAAACUUCUUUGAUUGGGGAAGAACAAAAUGACCUACCCAAAGAACAAGUCACGGCUAACUACGUGCCAGCCGCGGC